AUACGGAGGAUCCGAGCGUUAUCCGGAUUUAUUGGGUUUAAAGGGAGCGUAGGUGGACAGUUAAGUCAGUUGUGAAAGUUUGCGGCUCAACCGUAAAAUUGCAGUUGAUACUGGCUGUCUUGAGUACAGUAGAGGUGGGCGGAAUUCGUGGUGUAGCGGUGAAAUGCUUAGAUAUCACGAAGAACUCCGAUUGAGAAGGCAGCUCACUGGACUGCAACUGACACUGAUGCUCGAAAGUGUGGGUAUCAAACAGGAUUAGAUACCCUGGUAGUCCACACAGUAAACGAUGAAUACUCGCUGUUUGCGAUAUACAGUAAGCGGCCAAGCGAAAGCAUUAAGUAUUCCACCUGGGGAGUACGCCGGCAACGGUGAAACUCAAAUGAAUUGGCGGG
RNAcentral lists this ribosomal RNA (392 nucleotides) under uncultured bacterium. Its description in RNAcentral is "partial 16S ribosomal RNA". It matches the Rfam family "Bacterial small subunit ribosomal RNA", at positions 523 to 917 of the family's 1533-position model. The record is from RNAcentral.